AUUGAACGCUGGCGGCAGGCCUAACACAUGCAAGUCGGGCGGAUGAAGGGAGCUUGCUCCUGGAUUCAGCGGCGGACGGGUGAGUAAUGCCUAGGAAUCUGCCUGGUAGUGGGGGAUAACGUCCGGAAACGGGCGCUAAUACCGCAUACGUCCUGAGGGAGAAAGUGGGGGAUCUUCGGACCUCACGCUAUCAGAUGAGCCUAGGUCGGAUUAGCUAGUUGGUGGGGUAAAGGCCUACCAAGGCGACGAUCCGUAACUGGUCUGAGAGGAUGAUCAGUCACACUGGAACUGAGACACGGUCCAUACUCCUACGGGAGGCAGCAGUGGGGAAUAUUGGACAAUGGGCGAAAGCCUGAUCCAGCCAUGCCGCGUGUGUGAAGAAGGUCUUCGGAUUGUAAAGCACUUUAAGUUGGGAGGAAGGGCAGUAAGUUAAUACCUUGCUGUUUUGACGUUACCAACAGAAUAAGCACCGGCUAACUUCGUG
This 484-nucleotide ribosomal RNA is filed under the name uncultured bacterium. Its description in RNAcentral is "partial 16S ribosomal RNA". It matches the Rfam family "Bacterial small subunit ribosomal RNA", at positions 30 to 507 of the family's 1533-position model. The record is from RNAcentral.